RNAcentral lists this ribosomal RNA (762 nucleotides) under Platygerrhus affinis. Its description in RNAcentral is "SSU rRNA". It matches the Rfam family "Eukaryotic small subunit ribosomal RNA", at positions 477 to 1203 of the family's 1831-position model. The record is from RNAcentral. Lineage: Eukaryota; Metazoa; Arthropoda; Insecta; Hymenoptera; Pteromalidae.
ACGAUCGGGACUCAUCCGAGGCCCCGUAAUCGGAAUGAGUACACUUUAAAUCCUUUAACAAGGAUCCAUUGGAGGGCAAGUCUGGUGCCAGCAGCCGCGGUAAUUCCAGCUCCAAUAGCGUAUAUUAAAGUUGUUGCGGUUAAAAAGCUCGUAGUUGAAUCUGUGUGCCACGCUGUCGGUUCAUCGCUCGCGAUGUUUAACUGACAUGAUUGUGGGACGUCCUACCGGUGGGCUUAGCCUUUCGGGGCGGUCCAGCUAAUAUCCCAUCGCGGUGCUCUUCAUCGAGUGUCGAGGUGGGCCGGUACGUUUACUUUGAACAAAUUAGAGUGCUCAAAGCAGGCUUUGUUCGCCUGGAUACUUCGUGCAUGGAAUAAUGGAAUAGGACCUCGGUUCUAUUUUGUUGGUUUUCGGAACCCCGAGGUAAUGAUUAAUAGGGACAGAUGGGGGCAUUCGUAUUGCGACGUUAGAGGUGAAAUUCUUGGAUCGUCGCAAGACGGACAGAAGCGAAAGCAUUUGCCAAAAAUGUUUUCAUUAAUCAAGAACGAAAGUUAGAGGUUCGAAGGCGAUCAGAUACCGCCCUAGUUCUAACCAUAAACGAUGCCAGCUAGCGAUCCGCCGAAGUUCCUCCGAUGACUCGGCGGGCAGCUUCCGGGAAACCAAAGCUUUUGGGUUCCGGGGGAAGUAUGGUUGCAAAGCUGAAACUUAAAGGAAUUGACGGAAGGGCACCACCAGGAGUGGAGCCUGCGGCUUAAUUUGACUCAC